This 444-nucleotide ribosomal RNA is filed under the name uncultured bacterium. RNAcentral's name for it is "partial 16S ribosomal RNA". It matches the Rfam family "Bacterial small subunit ribosomal RNA", at positions 339 to 795 of the family's 1533-position model. The record is from RNAcentral.
CUACGGGUUGCAGCAGUGGGGAAUAUUGCACAAUGGGCGCAAGCCUGAUGCAGCAACGCCGCGUGAGGGAUGAAGGCCUUCGGGUUGUAAACCUCUUUUAGCAGGGAAGAAGCGAAAGUGACGGUACCUGCAGAAAAAGCACCGGCUAACUACGUGCCAGCAGCCGCGGUAAUACGUAGGGUGCAAGCGUUGUUCGGAAUUAUUGGGCGUAAAGAGCUCGUAGGCGGUUUGUCACGUCUGCUGUGAAAAUCCAAGGCUCAACCUUGGACUUGCAGUGGGUACGGGCAGGCUAGAGUGCGGUAGGGGAGAUGGGAAUUCCUGGUGUAGCGGUGGAAUGCGCAGAUAUCAGGAGGAACACCAAUGGCGAAGGCACAUCUCUGGGCCGUAACUGACGCUGAGGAGCGAAAGCGUGGGGAGCGAACAGGAUUAGAUACCCUGGUAGUC